CGUGACUCGAACUACUUUGGACGUGAUCCAUCGAUGCUGACGAUUAUUGUUUGUUGCGCCAUGUGACGUGCAAUUUAGAAUUGAAAAAGAAUCGACCGUUCCCGCGACACAGUGAAGGUUGCAUUGCAUUGGAUGGUAUUUUAACCAUCUACAACAAUUCUUACAAACAGAGCGUCGAAACAGGACUUGUCCAAUGUAACCGGCACAGCGUGAACGACGCCGAGGAGUCGCGCGAGGUUACGCAAAACAAAAGAUUGUUUGUCAGUCGAUUCGGAGAAGAUAAGGGAACGUCGAUGAUCUGUAACGUCGCUAAUUGGCCGUUUCGACGAUGGGGGACCAAGUGAAAGGCAUCGACGCAACGGAGGAAUCGUUAAAAUCUCGGCCGAGACGCAACCACGCAAAAAAACGUUCGAAGCAGGAAAAAGUAGCGGUGGUCUCCGCUCAAGACACAGAGGAGUGAGUAAGCCGUAAGGAGAGUGUGGACGCAAGUAAAAGGGAAGUUCUUUAAGGGGCGCGCACACGAACGAUCGGGCCACGUGCCAGGCAGGUGCAACCAUACCGAAGAAGCUUUCUCGAACAACACCGUUUAUCUUCUCCUUCUUUUACUUCUCUCUAAACCGCCCCUCGGCACGAGGGCCUACUACUAUGCCCCAUCGUUCGAGUUCAUCGUGCGGGAAAAAGCUAGACAAAUAAC
RNAcentral lists this unclassified non-coding RNA (694 nucleotides) under Bombus terrestris (buff-tailed bumblebee). Its description in RNAcentral is "misc RNA ENSBTSG00005039188.1". The record is from RNAcentral. Lineage: Eukaryota; Metazoa; Arthropoda; Insecta; Hymenoptera; Apidae.